Manis javanica (Malayan pangolin) is the source of this 1550-nucleotide long non-coding RNA. RefSeq lists it as uncharacterized. Lineage: Eukaryota; Metazoa; Chordata; Mammalia; Pholidota; Manidae. The record is from RefSeq and is a predicted model, not a curated record.
AUGUAUGAUUUAUCAGUCGUCUGUCUGUCUUGCUGGCUACCUAGCUAGCAAUCAUCAUUCAUCUUUUCUUUCUCCCUCGAGAGAGAUACUAAGAUCUCAGGGUCCAACUACAGUGAACUUGCUAAUUUUUGGUGUUCUGCUUUCGAAACCCACCACGACUUAGACAGAUGCUCAAAUUCGUCAGCCCGGACCCACGUGCUCCUGUUCCCUUUGCUGAGCUCGCAGGCGGGGUGCGACUCUGCCAGUAAACGCAGCAGGCCCACAGCUCGGGUCAGCUCUCCUCAGCUCUGGCUGAGCUUUUGCUUUGCCUCAUCUACUUACUGAUUUUUAAAACUUUAGUGUAAGAUUAUAAUUAUUUGCAAUAUAACAUUCUCUAUCUAACAAAGCCUCUCUGCAAUACUUUCCUAAAGCAAAUGAAAAACUAUUCAGUCACUUUACUUAGAGUCAGAGCUAGUCACUUCUGAUACUCACCCCAUGUUCUCUAAUCUCUCCCCUUCUGUGUCCGUCCUUAAUCUCGAUUCUUCUCUCGCUCAUGAGCAGGGGGAAGGUUUCUGGUCGCGGCGCCAGGGCAGUGCGUUUUCUGGUGACCUGCGGUGUUGGGAAUGCUGCUCCCUUGGCCUCCCCUGUGAACAGGAGGACGGUUCUGGGAGCAACGUGGGUGGGCUCGGCCCACGUGGCCAGCACCUCCCUCCUGCACUGGCUUUCCUGGGGCACUGUCUUGACCAUAUUUCUGCCCUUUUUCUCUUUACCCCUCUUUGCUGGUUCGGAGGUCUGUGGCCAGUUUUGGUAUCUUCAUGUUCAUUUUCUCCCUCUUUCCCAGCCCUGCUGUGGACUGUGCCAGGAGAUCCCCCCUCCAUCGCUGCCCCUUGCCGCAGAGAGUGACUGGCCCAGGCUCAGAUCUGAAAAUGCAGAGACCACAGGGUGCAAGAGUCCACCCCUUGGCAACUGCACCUGGGGGCCUGAGCCACACGCCUGUCAGCUCCUGUUCAGGGCCAGGGCUUCUUAUGGAGACUUUCUUGUGCUGGAGGGCUAAUGCAUGUGCUUGGAGGCCAGAGGAAGUCAGAGGGAUGCCCUUGAGAUGACAACCCACCAGCCACCACUUCCCGGACACUAUGGGUGUGACACUGCUUCGCCCUGAGGACCGCUCUCCCAAGCUCACCUGCCUGCUGACAUCGCCGCUUGAUGCCUCUCCAGAAUCAUAAACGGAACGUGUCUAAAACUGAAUUCAUCACCUUCCUCUCUUUUCCCUCCUUGGUGAUUAUCACCCCAAACAAGUAAAAAGCAAUCCCAAAGGAGAAGCCCACUCCUCUGCGGAAGCCCUGAUUCGAGAGGCCAGAAGCCACCCCCACGCCAGGCUGUUUUCAGCCCUGGGGCUCCUCCUGUGGCACUACUUCCUGCCCAGCCUGGCACAGUCCUUCCUGUCUGCAGGCCUGUCCACACCACAGCAGGAGCAGUUUCCAAUGAUGCAGACCAGAUGUGGUCAGUUUGUAGGAAGCAUUUAUACAGAAUUUGUUCCCCUGUGAUAGCAGUUAUCCCCAUUAAAGGAAGCC